UACCAGCACCCCGAGUGGUCGGGACGAUUAUUGGGCCUAAAGCAUCCGUAGCCGGUUCUACAAGUCUUCCGUUAAAUCCACCUGCUUAACAGAUGGGCUGCGGAGGAUACUAUAGAGCUAGGAGGCGGGAGAGGCAAGCGGUGCUUAGUGGGUAGGGGUAAAAUCCGUUGAUCCAUUGAAGACCACCAGUGGCGAAGGCGGCUUGCCAGAACGCACUCGACGGUGAGGGAUGAAAGCUGGGGGAGCAAACCGG
Molecule: ribosomal RNA, 253 nt
Filed under: uncultured bacterium
Lineage: Bacteria
Description: partial 16S ribosomal RNA
Rfam family: Archaeal small subunit ribosomal RNA
Source: RNAcentral